Molecule: long non-coding RNA, 769 nt
Organism: Arabidopsis lyrata subsp. lyrata
Lineage: Eukaryota; Viridiplantae; Streptophyta; Magnoliopsida; Brassicales; Brassicaceae
Exons: 3
Source: RefSeq, a predicted model, not a curated record
CGGUGAUAUAUUGUGAGUAUCAUAAGCCCAGAAAAUAUUAAUUAAUGGACCAAACAACUUUUUUGGGCCUGAGCCGUAUCAGUGGACUGAUACUUCUGAUACUGGGUAUCAGUCGACGUGGCACGUGCUGAUUGGUGCUGCAAACGCGUUUUUGGCUAAAGGCAGAGAAAAAAAAAAAAAUUCUCACCUCUCUCUACCGAGAAAACCUAGAACUUCUCUGGCGAUUUCGAUUUUCCCUCUCCUCCGCCGAUUCUUCCUUCCCGAUCUUGCCUUCGGUCCCUCUGCAGACGAGAUACCCGACGAGCUAUGGAGAAAGAUCAUCGGUGGCUUUGAAGGUUUGGCAGCCGGAUUGUGGUACCAUUAUUGGCUCUCUCAGGCAAGCAUCGGUGGCAAGCAUCGGUGGCUUUGAAGGUUUUGAAGGUUUGAGAGGGAGAAGGAGAGGAAAGUAGCUGCAUAUAGAAGAGCUUUACUCAGGAAGGAGAGUGAAAUUUAUGAAUGGGGCCGGAGGAUUCGUGAAUUGGAGGCUCGAUUGUCGGACGAGGCUGAGAGAUUACAGUCUUCUUCUCUGCAAUUUUCAGAUUUGCUCAAAGUGAGGCAAGCAUCGAUGGCUUUGAAGGUUUGGCAGCCGGAUUGUGGUACCAUUAUUUGCAUCCAUUUGUAACAAAUAAGAUUUAUGUUGGUAUUAUUUGGUUUUAAUAUUUUGGAAACACUUGUUUUGGCAACAAUAUCAUUUGGAGAAAGAAGUAUAUUUAUUUUUGAUUUUGCAAUU